RNAcentral lists this ribosomal RNA (468 nucleotides) under uncultured bacterium. RNAcentral describes it as "partial 16S ribosomal RNA". It matches the Rfam family "Bacterial small subunit ribosomal RNA", at positions 28 to 507 of the family's 1533-position model. The record is from RNAcentral.
GACGAACGCUGGCGGCGUGCUUAACACAUGCCAGUCGAACGGAAAGGCCCUGCUUUUGUGGGGUGCUCGAGUGGCGAACGGGCGAGUAACACGUGAGUAACCUGCCCUUGACUUUGGGAUAACUUCAGGAAACUGGGGCUAAUAACGGAUAGGAGCUCCUGCUGCAUGGUGGGGGUUGGAAAUUUUCGGCGGUUGGGGAUGGACUCGCGGCUUAUCAUCUUGUUGGUGGGGUAGUGGCUUACCGAGGCUUUGGCGGGUAGCCGGCCUGAGAGGGUGAACUGCCACAUUGGGACUGAGAUACGGCCCAGACUCCUCAGGGAGGCAGAAGUGGGGAAUAUUGCACAAUGCGCGGAACACUGAUGCAGCAACGCCGCGUGCGGGAUGACGGUCUUCGGGUUGUAAACCGCUUUCGCCUGUGACGAAGCGUGAGUGACGGUAAUGUGUAGAGAAGCACCGGCUAACUACGUG